GAUGAACGCUGGCGGCGUGCCUAAUACAUGCAAGUCGAGCGAACGGACGAGAAGCUUGCUUUUCUGAUGUUAGCGGCGGACGGGUGAGUAACACGUGGAUAACCUACCUAUAAGACUGGGAUAACUUCGGGAAACCGGAGCUAAUACCGGAUAAUAUUUUGAACCGCAUGGUUCAAAAGUGAAAGACGGUCUUGCUGUCACUUAUAGAUGGAUCCGCGCUGCAUUAGCUAGUUGGUAAGGUAACGGCUUACCAAGGCAACGAUGCAUAGCCGACCUGAGAGGGUGAUCGGCCACACUGGAACUGAGACACGGUCCAGACCCCUACGGGAGGCAGCAGUAGGGAAUCUUCCGCAAUGGGCGAAAGCCUGACUGAGCAACGCCGCGUGAGUGAUGAAGGUCUUCGGAUCGUAAAACUCUGUUAUUAGGGAAGAACAUAUGUGUAAGUAACUGUGCACAUCUUGACGGUACCUAAUCAGAAAGCCACGGCUAACUACGUG
This 497-nucleotide ribosomal RNA is filed under the name uncultured bacterium. RNAcentral describes it as "partial 16S ribosomal RNA". It matches the Rfam family "Bacterial small subunit ribosomal RNA", at positions 28 to 507 of the family's 1533-position model. The record is from RNAcentral.